Molecule: long non-coding RNA, 1132 nt
Filed under: Marmota monax (woodchuck)
Lineage: Eukaryota; Metazoa; Chordata; Mammalia; Rodentia; Sciuridae
Source: RNAcentral
CUGUCUUUAUUUAACAAAUAUCUUUGGAGCCCCUACUGUGCCCUGAGCACUGGACAGGGACUGGAGGUAAAAUAACGAAGACUCAGUGUUUUGACUUCAUACAAUUGUAAGUCUAUCAAGGAAAAGACAUUCAACCUCCCUCAUGUUUUUUCCCUGUACAUAUUGUAUUUCAAUGAAAGCACAUCUUAAAAUGAUUACAAAGGUAUACACUUUUGGAUUCCUCUAAAGAGCCAGUCCCUCCAGUAUAAUCUUAUUUAAACAUCUUUUCAGGAACAAAAAUGUUGUAUGAAGUGAGACAGGGGCUCCUCACAGUUUGGGCAUUUCCUAGGCCUGUAGGUGUGGCUCUGUGUCCCCUGGGUGAGGGUUAUUCCUGUUUACAGAGGGCCUGGAGGAAUUUCCUGACAAUCCCCAAACCCCUGCCCACAAAGGAAGGCUGGUUCUUUACUGAACUCUUCAUGUGCAGCUCUAGAGGGAAAAGGGCCCUGCUCCCACCCACAAACCCAGAAGUAAGUGCCUCUCAUCCUCUCAGUGAAGGCACUGGAGGCAAAUUUCUUGAUCCCACCCUGUUUAAAGGAGAGCUUGCUGAGGCAGGAGAAUUGGGAGUGCAAAGCCAACCUCAGCAACUUAAGGAGCAACUCAGUGAGACCCUGUCUCUAAAUAAAAACACACAAAAAAGGCUGGGCAUGUGUCUCAUUGGUUAAGCACCCCCUGAGUUCCAUCCCCAAUACUCCCCCCCCCAAAAAAGGAAAGUUUGCAUAUCUGAUAUCCUUGAGACUUGUUGUCUGGAAGCCACCAACACUGUGGAGGACAACACUUCCAGUAUCAGUUUUCACCCCAGUGAUGUGUUGUUGAUAGGGAAAGUCAUUGGGGCUGUGGUCAUUGAGCACAGUGGGAGAGGCCCCCAGGAUAUGGUUAUCACAGGCAGAGCCUCACCUUCUGGGCACUGCCCUUCUGGACCUCCCUCUCAACCAAAUAUCUGGCUUUAUCUUUUGAUAAUGCAGGGUGUUUACCUUACCUGCCUCUGUACCCCUGAGGUCCCAUAGGUAGUGGGUGUGUUUUACUGCCCUUUUAAUCUCUCGGCCUUUAACUAUAAAAAGAAAGAAGGAAGAAGCUAUAUCAGCCCUUUAAACAA